GGCUGCUCCAGGAAGCGGCACGGAGUUUGGGGGCUGGGGGCGGCUGGCCGUGCGAGACAGGAGGCGGUUGCUAUACUGAGGCGUUGUACAUAAGAAACCGUGGGAAGACAAGGCAUUGAGAUAUAAAAGCUAAGAAAGCUAUGUUUACAUUUACAAUGGGAUGGAUCUAACAACGAAGGUCUGUGUGCUCUACAGAUGGGCCCAUCAAGGGAAACCAACGCACGAACGCCGGUCCUGCCAUUUACUGCCUCUGCCACAGGACCCACGUGGCAGAAGCACCUCCCUCCCACCACUGGCCUCCUUGCGCAGGAGCCAAGUGGUGACAUCGUUACACCACGUUGCCGCUGGCACAAGGAAGUGAGUGGAGGCCCGUGGUGUGCAACUGGCCAAUGGCUGUGAUGAUGGGUGAAAUGAGGCCAAUGGUGGGGUGAGUGGAGACAGUAGUGGAGGCAGCAGUGGCCCAAGGAGAUAUGUAAACACAGCCAAGGUUGCUAUUCCAUUGCUGCUUUUUUCCAGGAAUGCCUCCAAACAAAAGCUCUUCCCACACUCCAAGUUGCCACCAGCAAUUAUAAAUACAUUUAUAUCAUUUCACCAGCAUGAAGUUUUUGAUGAGAAGUCAGGUUUGUGCUGUGUCUACUCUGAAGUCCUUUCCAAAUUCCAAACAUGUAUAUGGUUCCGCCCCAGUGUGAAUCCUUUGGUGUGAAGUGAGGGAAUCAGCUCGACUGUAGCCCUUU
Molecule: long non-coding RNA, 734 nt
Organism: Hemicordylus capensis (graceful crag lizard)
Lineage: Eukaryota; Metazoa; Chordata; Lepidosauria; Squamata; Cordylidae
Exons: 3
Source: RefSeq, a predicted model, not a curated record